CCUCUUAUGCGUCAAUUUUUCUCUCGUUUCCUUCCUCGCUUAUUUCUGAGUCAUAGAAUGUCUCCGCGCGUGAGAAGUCAGAGAUAAUCCACCCGAAACAUUAUUCCGGGGAUUUUUUAUUCAGGAACAUCGUUUCCGUGGAUUUGUUUAGUUUUAUUGUGUAUGACAGUAGUGAUUUAAGUUUGGAGAAAAUCAGUGUUUUUUGAAUGGGCUUAUUCCUACAAAAAAAGAAAGGUAAGUUUUUAUCAUAUACGUAUAAUAAUUGGAAUGACCGAUCAGUGAAAAGGGCCUUACGUCAGAUUUUUGACAAACACUAAUUUAUAUGAUUUUAAAUUCAUUGAUGGGUUUUCAGUAGCAAUAACAAGCUCAAUGUUUGAAUAAAGAUCUAACUGCAGACGAGUUAUGGAGUCCUGAUAAUCACUUGGCAAAGGAUUUAAAUAAAGGAAAAAGAUGAAAGAAAUGUGUUGAAAUUUAUAAGAUGAUCCGGGAUAAAAUAGUUCCAGGUCCCUUCUCAAAUUGUUUUGGGUUGCUUAAGCUGAACUUUUGGAUUGAUCCUAUUUAAAUGGUUAAUUUAAGGAUACGCAGAUUAGAAUUUUCCAAAGCAAAGAUUUUCAAAAUUUCGAAAAUCAUACUUUCUCCUCGCUUUUUGAUUUUCAUUCCAGAUGUCUAAAGAAAUUGAAGAUUUCAGACUGUUCUCGAGAAAAAAAGUCUCAUAGUGCCCUCACCUCAGGAGCUGAAGGAGGACGUAAAUUAUUUAAUGGAGUGGAUAGCACAGAACCUGAUUUGCCAAUAUCACCGAUGAGGAGUGGUUGACGACAUUUUGUGCAACAAAAAUUUAGCCUGGAGAGGACAAAACGGAACUGGUCAACUAUUACGUUUACACAGAAGCAAAUAUCCAAGUGUGUUGAUGCGAAAAACGAGAUCCCUCGUCGAUAGAGGCUCUUCAAACUAUGAAGGCUUUCCGUUUGGGUUCUCUACAAAGGUUAACAAAAGAUGGGUGCAAACUUAUUUAUUCCUCGUGGAGUCCUGAAUUCGAUAAUUUUAGCGCAAAUGAAGUUUUGAAGAGAGUCUUCAUGGCCGCGGAUGUGAUGACCUUGGAGAGGAUCCGAUUGGCGAAAACCGUUGUCGUCGCAGAUUGUGGGGCUCUCACCUACCGACAUUACCUGAGACUAACACCGAUUCUGACACAGUUUGGGGAUAUCAUGAUCAACGGGCAUACGGAAAGAAUCAAAGCUAUUUAUUUCCUUAAUGCCGCGCGGUGGAUUUGUGAAUUGCUCGAGGUUUUGAAACACUGCGUUCCAGCCACGCUGAGUAGUCGGAUGCACAUUUUUCGUCUCCAAACGAGAAAUUUCGACAGGAGUUCCAUGAACACGAUCUUUCGAUCGAUUACGGAGGCAAAGCAUCUAGUUUAGACGAACUGACCGAGCAUACGCAGAGAUUGUUGGAAAAACAUAGGCGAUGGUUCCUCGAACAAGAAAACGUUUGUUCAAAUGAUAUCACAAGAAGGUCAAAAGAAAAUUUGGAUGAUAUGAAAGGAUCUUUCCGGCAGCUGAAUAUAGAUUGAACGUGUGAAUUGAUUCAGUGGCGUGGCGUGCUUUGCGAUAUAUCGAUUGAUCUGCCAUUUAAACCUAUGGAAAAAGAUCGAUAGACAGGGUGUUCGCAGCGAACACCUUAAUAAUCGAUUCUUUACCAUAUCUUUUAAUGGAGAGGUAUCGGUAAUCGAUCAUUCAUGCCACGCCACUGAUAAUUGAUUCACUAAUUGAAUGCCAAACUACAUUCAACUUGAUAUGUUUUGUAUAAGCAAUUACAUCUUGAACACAUGUAGAGAUUGUUGCAACUACCCUCAUUUGUUUAAUAACAAAAAUCUUUAAAUUAUAAUUCGGAUUUUAGUCUAAAUGUGGUUUAUUUGGAUAAAUCCUAGCUGUUUAAAUAUCGAAUAAUAAUUUUUAAAUUUUGAUAUUAGUGCACGUCCAAUUUUUUUUCUUUUCGUUAUUCAUUUUUUAUCAUCAUAAUUAUUUUAUUCGUCGUGUCCAGAUAACUUACUUUCUAAAAUAUGGCAAUUAUAUUUUGAAACGCAUGUUCAAAAUUGGACCGUAUUUCGCAAUCAGGAAUUACAAUAUCAAGCUCAUCCGUAAAAACACUUAUGCACUUAAAGAAAUUAUGGGACAUAUGUGGUUCCUAAACUAUGCCAGAAAAAAAGAGAGUCCCAAUUGCAAAAU
This 2219-nucleotide long non-coding RNA is filed under the name Bemisia tabaci. Its description in RNAcentral is "lncRNA ENSSWEETPG007093". The record is from RNAcentral. Lineage: Eukaryota; Metazoa; Arthropoda; Insecta; Hemiptera; Aleyrodidae.